RNAcentral lists this transfer RNA (77 nucleotides) under Culex quinquefasciatus (southern house mosquito). RNAcentral describes it as "tRNA-Thr". It matches the Rfam family "tRNA". From Rfam's summary of the family: Transfer RNA (tRNA) molecules are approximately 80 nucleotides in length. Their secondary structure includes four short double-helical elements and three loops (D, anti-codon, and T loops). Further hydrogen bonds mediate the characteristic L-shaped molecular structure. tRNAs have two regions of fundamental functional importance: the anti-codon, which is responsible for specific mRNA codon recognition, and the 3' end, to which the tRNAs corresponding amino acid is attached (by aminoacyl-tRNA synthetases). tRNAs cope with the degeneracy of the genetic code in two manners: having more than one tRNA (with a specific anti-codon) for a particular amino acid; and 'wobble' base-pairing, i.e. permitting non-standard base-pairing at the 3rd anti-codon position. Lineage: Eukaryota; Metazoa; Arthropoda; Insecta; Diptera; Culicidae. The record is from RNAcentral.
GGAGCAGUGUGUGGCCGAAUGGUUACGCUGUCCGCUUUGUAAGCGGAUGAUUCUGGGUUCGAUUCCCAUCUGCUCCA